Molecule: transfer-messenger RNA, 379 nt
Filed under: Pseudonocardiales bacterium
Lineage: Bacteria; Bacillati; Actinomycetota; Actinomycetes; Pseudonocardiales
Rfam family: transfer-messenger RNA
About the family: Bacterial tmRNA, also known as 10Sa RNA or SsrA, is named for its dual tRNA and mRNA-like properties. Its role is to liberate the mRNA from a stalled ribosome.
Source: RNAcentral
GGGGGUGAACGGUUUCGACUUCGGUCGUCGAUCAAGGGGAAGCGUGUCGAGGAAGGCGACGAUGCACUCGUUAACCACACGCGUCGCAAACCAUUAAGCGCCAACCAUCAGGUUAAGCGCGACGCAUUCGCCCUCGCCGCCUGAGCGAGAGCUAGCGUCUGUCGGCCCGGGGGCGUCCCCGCUCCGGAGUCCGGCAUCAGCUAGGGGACUCACCGUCCGACCCGGUCGCGGGGGCGGGCGGGACAUCGCACAGCGACUGGGAUCGUCACACCGGCUCGUCCGCAUGACCGGUGGAUCCGAGUAGAGGCAGAGCGGACUGCGCACGGAGAAGCCCUUGUGAAGCGCCGGAGGACCCGGGUUCGAUUCCCGGCACCUCCAC